This 669-nucleotide ribosomal RNA is filed under the name Enterobacter sp. RNAcentral describes it as "bacterial SSU rRNA". It matches the Rfam family "Bacterial small subunit ribosomal RNA", at positions 90 to 755 of the family's 1533-position model. Lineage: Bacteria; Pseudomonadati; Pseudomonadota; Gammaproteobacteria; Enterobacterales; Enterobacteriaceae. The record is from RNAcentral.
GACGAGUGGCGGACGGGUGAGUAAUGUCUGGGAAACUGCCUGAUGGAGGGGGAUAACUACUGGAAACGGUAGCUAAUACCGCAUAACGUCGCAAGACCAAAGAGGGGGACCUUCGGGCCUCUUGCCAUCAGAUGUGCCCAGAUGGGAUUAGCUAGUAGGUGGGGUAACGGCUCACCUAGGCGACGAUCCCUAGCUGGUCUGAGAGGAUGACCAGCCACACUGGAACUGAGACACGGUCCAGACUCCUACGGGAGGCAGCAGUGGGGAAUAUUGCACAAUGGGCGCAAGCCUGAUGCAGCCAUGCCGCGUGUAUGAAGAAGGCCUUCGGGUUGUAAAGUACUUUCAGCGGGGAGGAAGGUGUUGUGGUUAAUAACCGCAGCAAUUGACGUUACCCGCAGAAGAAGCACCGGCUAACUCCGUGCCAGCAGCCGCGGUAAUACGGAGGGUGCAAGCGUUAAUCGGAAUUACUGGGCGUAAAGCGCACGCAGGCGGUCUGUCAAGUCGGAUGUGAAAUCCCCGGGCUCAACCUGGGAACUGCAUUCGAAACUGGCAGGCUAGAGUCUUGUAGAGGGGGGUAGAAUUCCAGGUGUAGCGGUGAAAUGCGUAGAGAUCUGGAGGAAUACCGGUGGCGAAGGCGGCCCCCUGGACAAAGACUGACGCUCAGGUGCG